This is a long non-coding RNA of Amphimedon queenslandica, 292 nucleotides long. RefSeq lists it as uncharacterized. NCBI's taxonomy places the organism in Eukaryota, Metazoa, Porifera, Demospongiae, Haplosclerida, Niphatidae. The transcript has 2 exons. The record is from RefSeq and is a predicted model, not a curated record.
UUUAACUCCCCCACACAGAUCAGUGUACGUGAGUCCAAUGAUGAUCAACAAAAAGUUAUAUUGACUAUCACAAAUCUAGUUGAUAUCAUACGAGUGUUAGAAAAGGGUAACUUUCAGAAUCAAAAGUGGCGUAAACUUGGUCUCUACUUGGGUCUGAUUCACCCCGACUUAAAGACUAUUGAGGAAAACUAUCCUCGAGAUGCUGAGCGAUGUCUGGAAGAAUGUUUAGCAAAAUGGCUUACAGUUGAUACUGAAGCAACAUGGGAGAAACUAGCUAUUGCUGUUGGUGAAG